GAAUGCUGACAUAAGUAACGAUAAAGCGGGUGAAAAGCCCGCUCGCCGGAAGACCAAGGGUUCCUGUCCAACGUUAAUCGGGGCAGGGUGAGUCGACCCCUAAGGCGAGGCCGAAAGGCGUAGUCGAUGGGAAACAGGUUAAUAUUCCUGUACUUGGUGUUACUGCGAAGGGGGGACGGAGAAGGCUAUGUUGGCCGGGCGACGGUUGUCCCGGUUUAAGCGUGUAGGCUGGUUUUCCAGGCAAAUCCGGAAAAUCAAGGCUGAGGCGUGAUGACGAGGCACUACGGUGCUGAAGCGACAAAUGCCCUGCUUCCAGGAAAAGCCUCUAAGCAUCAGGUAACAUCAAAUCGUA
This 352-nucleotide ribosomal RNA is filed under the name Escherichia coli. RNAcentral describes it as "partial 23S ribosomal RNA". It matches the Rfam family "Bacterial large subunit ribosomal RNA", at positions 1292 to 1646 of the family's 2925-position model. Lineage: Bacteria; Pseudomonadati; Pseudomonadota; Gammaproteobacteria; Enterobacterales; Enterobacteriaceae. The record is from RNAcentral.